RNAcentral lists this ribosomal RNA (497 nucleotides) under uncultured bacterium. Its description in RNAcentral is "partial 16S ribosomal RNA". It matches the Rfam family "Bacterial small subunit ribosomal RNA", at positions 28 to 507 of the family's 1533-position model. The record is from RNAcentral.
GACGAACGCUGGCGGCGUGCCUAAUACAUGCAAGUUGAGCGCUGAAGGUUGGUACUUGUACCAACUGGAUGAGCAGCGAACGGGUGAGUAACGCGUGGGGAAUCUGCCUUUGAGCGGGGGACAACAUUUUGAAACGAAUGCUAAUACCGCAUAAAAACUUUAAACACAAGUUUUAAGUUUGAAAGAUGCAAUUGCAUCACUCAAAGAUGAUCCCGCGUUGUAUUAGCUAGUUGGUGAGGUAAAGGCUCACCAAGGCGAUGAUACAUAGCCGACCUGAGAGGGUGAUCGGCCACAUUGGGACUGAGACACGGCCCAAACUCCUACGGGAGGAAGCAGUAGGGAAUCUUCGGCAAUGGACGAAAGUCUGACCGAGCAACGCCGCGCGAGUGAAGAAGGUUUUCGGAUCGUAAAACUCUGUUGGUAGAGAAGAACGUUGGUGAGAGUGGAAAGCUCAUCAAGUGACGGUAACUACCCAGAAAGGGACGGCUAACUACGUG